RNAcentral lists this ribosomal RNA (200 nucleotides) under uncultured bacterium. Its description in RNAcentral is "partial 16S ribosomal RNA". It matches the Rfam family "Bacterial small subunit ribosomal RNA", at positions 8 to 238 of the family's 1533-position model. The record is from RNAcentral.
AGAGUUUGAUCCUGGCUCAGAACGAACGCUGGCGGCAGGCCUAACACAUGCAAGUCGAACGCCCCGCAAGGGGAGUGGCAGACGGGUGAGUAACGCGUGGGAACAUACCCUUCGGUUCGGAAUAACUCAGGGAAACUUGAGCUAAUACCGGAUACGUCCUGGCGGAGAAAGAUUUAUCGCCGGAGGAUUGGCCCGCGUCC